AUCAUUAGUUUUUUCGCGAAUUUGUCUGGGAAUCGUGUUAUUCUCUAAAACCAGUUUCUUAUCUUUCAAAUAUUAACAGGGCAAAAGUCAAAAAAAAGUGGAACAAAUCAAAAACAUUUAAAAAUUGGUUUAGGAGUGAGUGGUGGUGUAAUAGGCUUAUUUGCAUGUGCAUGUAUUGUUGUACUUUUAUACAGAAAGAGAAAGUGUUGUUUUAAGAAUUUAAACACAAACAGACAAGUGGAAUCUAAUGAACAAAAUCUGUCUAACAGUGAGACAGAACUAGCUUCAGGGAUACAAUACUAAUAUACAAAUAACUGAAUAUACAAAUAAAGGAGUAACUUGUAGCACAUAGACCAAUCACAAAAACAAAUGAGCAAAAGAUUAUUAAAUGAUACAAGAAGAAAAUGCUCACUUGGGGCUGAAUAAGAACUACAUUAAAAAUUGUAUUUAUCUAAGAAAUAGCUAAUCGUUCUUAAGUAUCAUUUCGGUUUUGAGUUUCAACGUUUAUUUUUAUUUCAUUUUUUUUUAAAUAUAAGAAUCUCAUAUUAACCCUCUGUGAUAUACGUUUGAACUUUAGUCUUUGUUGUACCGUUUUAUUCAAUGAGAUAGCGUUGGCAGUCAAUUGUGUAUUCAUUAUAUUCAAUAGAGGAUAGUGAAUGUUUCUUUUCUAUAAAUGCAGGAUUUGUUUUCAUAGACUGGUUUAAAAUAUGAUGAUUGUCAUAUCACAAGAUGAAAAUAAAUCCUUUCUUUCCAGAAAAAAAGUCCUAUACAUUGUAUUUAUUUAGAAAACAUGAACUUUCUGCUAUUUAUAUACUUGUUUUCUUUUUUUUUUACUGUGCAAUUUCGCAAGACUCCGUACUAGCUGAAUUAAGUCAGGACACAAGUAAAUUACGGAAAAUAUAUCUCACUGCAGUGAAAAAAUAUCUUUUUGCAGUGAAAAUACGAAAAGUGAAAAUACGCAUUUUAUUUCAUCAAUAUUUCUCAAUAUUUAAUAUAUAUGUACAUAUAUAAUACAUAACGUUUAUUUAACUAUAAGAUCAUUUAAUUCGUUUAUUGUUUCUUGAAUAACAUCUAACUAUGACGAAACAUUUUGGAAUAAAUGUACAUUUAAUUAUAUAUUAUGUAUUAAGAUGGUUAUUGAACAAUUGGAUUAAACUUUGUAUCUUUUACGCAUGAUGUGGUGAACAAAAAUUUGAAGUAUCUAUCAUAUUGAUGUUAUUAUUAAAAUGCACACAUAAUAUAUAUACAAUGUGUUGUUAAAUAUGUUUUUGCUUUAUAUUUUUUAUCAUCUUUCAUACAAACUUUGUAAAGUUCAUUUGGGGCUUUGGAUUUUGUUUUAAAUUCUAAUAUUCUGUUCAUGUAUAUCUUUAAAUACUAUUUGCUCUGUUCCUGUUUGAUGUAUACGGGGUAUGUAAAAGACCUGGUGUUAUUUCAAAAAUAGAUAUUACUUCAAAUAAGAUAUAAAUCUCGAAUUCAGACUCUGCUAUGCUAGACGCAUCAACAGCGAAUUUAAUAUUAAUUGUCGGGCUUAUUUUUUAACUUAAAGUUUGAAAACGAUUUCAGUUUCUCCCCUAUACACUACGCAUAAACCAUUUACACCACCACUUACGUUUUCAACUACAAAAAAGAAAACCAAGUAUAAACCAAAACCCACUGAUGUGUAUGUGUGUGAUUUAACCAGCAACGAAAGACUUUUAAAGAUUGUUGGAUCUAUAGUCGGGACAUUCUCUACAGCGGCACUUGUUAUGGCGAUAAUUCUUGUCCUUUACGUUCGAAGGAAAUUACGAACUGGUAAAGAUAAGCAAUCCAGUCAAAUACACAAAACGGCUGCAGUAAAGCAUCUCAAGGCCUGGCGUUUCAGAAGAACCUUUGUUAAUGAUUGUCAAAGGACAUAACUUUAAGAAUGUCAAAUAUUAUAUACUCAUAUUCAAUAUUUAGCUCAUGAUUAUGAUGUUAUAUCGACGCAAUUAAUUGCCGUGUUAGUUCUCUCGAAAUCGUGAAAAUUACCUACUCAUUAUUGGUUUUCCAGCGGUUAAAAGUAGAAAACGCAUCGCUUUCAAAACCGAUGAUUGGCUGUUUGAAAAAUCACGAGAAUGUUACAACUUUUUGGUGAUCGUCAGAUCCUUGUGUGUAGAGUUAUUUAGGAGCUUAUUUUAAUCAGAUUGCAGUUCAUAUCACAUCAUAUAAAAGUCAAUAUUUGUUUUAUAAUGAACUCAUCGAAUAACGUAGUGAAGUAAGCAGGAUUUCUGAGGGUGUCUGCCAUGAAAACAAUUAUCUGAGAUGUUAUAGGCCUAAAUGAAAAUAUUUGUUUUUAAUACGGUGCAAACUGAUGUCUCUCCGGGUUUUGGUGUUGUUGUUUUUCCCCGUAAAUAACUGUCAAAAGAACUUACCGGAAACACUUCGAUUUGAAUUCCGCUGCAAUGUAUUUUUUUUAUAAUAUUAAUUUACAUUUUAUAUUUAAGUUAAGUCAUACUUUUUGUACCUACAUACUUUGUAAAAACAUAUUUUAUAAUCAUUUUAAUUUUCUAUGAUUUUCAAACAUUAUGGUCCAUUUUAUCAUCAUCACAUCAUCAUUAUUAUUAUUAUUAUUAUUAUUAUUAUUAUUAUUAUAUUUUAAGAUUUUGACUUGUUAUUGAUUAAUUUAGAAAUGCCUCUAUUCGUUUCAGUACCAGACCUUGAAAUG
Molecule: long non-coding RNA, 2683 nt
Organism: Ruditapes philippinarum (Manila clam)
Lineage: Eukaryota; Metazoa; Mollusca; Bivalvia; Venerida; Veneridae
Exons: 2
Source: RefSeq, a predicted model, not a curated record